GCAAAUGUGGCAGAGUGGCUGAAUGCGGCUCCCCGCUAAGGAGUUGGCCGGGUAACCGGCCCGAAGGUUCGAAUCCUUCCAUUUGCG
Molecule: transfer RNA, 87 nt
Filed under: Clostridium sp.
Lineage: Bacteria; Bacillati; Bacillota; Clostridia; Eubacteriales; Clostridiaceae
Also listed under: 8 other names
Description: tRNA-Ser
Rfam family: tRNA
About the family: Transfer RNA (tRNA) molecules are approximately 80 nucleotides in length. Their secondary structure includes four short double-helical elements and three loops (D, anti-codon, and T loops). Further hydrogen bonds mediate the characteristic L-shaped molecular structure. tRNAs have two regions of fundamental functional importance: the anti-codon, which is responsible for specific mRNA codon recognition, and the 3' end, to which the tRNAs corresponding amino acid is attached (by aminoacyl-tRNA synthetases). tRNAs cope with the degeneracy of the genetic code in two manners: having more than one tRNA (with a specific anti-codon) for a particular amino acid; and 'wobble' base-pairing, i.e. permitting non-standard base-pairing at the 3rd anti-codon position.
Source: RNAcentral